GCCUUCGUGGUGUAGUGGUCUGCAUGCUAGACCCAUAAUCGAGAGGUCCGUGGUUCGAUUCCCGGCGAAGGCG
This 73-nucleotide transfer RNA is filed under the name Stegodyphus mimosarum. It matches the Rfam family "tRNA". From Rfam's summary of the family: Transfer RNA (tRNA) molecules are approximately 80 nucleotides in length. Their secondary structure includes four short double-helical elements and three loops (D, anti-codon, and T loops). Lineage: Eukaryota; Metazoa; Arthropoda; Arachnida; Araneae; Eresidae. The record is from Rfam by way of RNAcentral.